Molecule: transfer RNA, 65 nt
Filed under: Trachys troglodytiformis
Lineage: Eukaryota; Metazoa; Arthropoda; Insecta; Coleoptera; Buprestidae
Description: tRNA-Phe
Rfam family: tRNA
About the family: Transfer RNA (tRNA) molecules are approximately 80 nucleotides in length. Their secondary structure includes four short double-helical elements and three loops (D, anti-codon, and T loops). Further hydrogen bonds mediate the characteristic L-shaped molecular structure. tRNAs have two regions of fundamental functional importance: the anti-codon, which is responsible for specific mRNA codon recognition, and the 3' end, to which the tRNAs corresponding amino acid is attached (by aminoacyl-tRNA synthetases). tRNAs cope with the degeneracy of the genetic code in two manners: having more than one tRNA (with a specific anti-codon) for a particular amino acid; and 'wobble' base-pairing, i.e. permitting non-standard base-pairing at the 3rd anti-codon position.
Source: RNAcentral
AUUUAAAUAGCUUAUAUUUAGAGCAUAACAUUGAAGAUGUUAAGGAGAUAUUUUAUCUUUAAAUA